AGCCUUUGAAUCUUGCUCAUACGUAUUUUCGGGUGCAAUGAAGAACUCAAGGUUACGUAGUUCUUGGUAGAAAAUGUUUGUUUGUUGAUCGAUUUUAGCAAAAACUAUUUUGUUACAGUCGACAAAAAAUAUUGCUUACCCAAAACGGGUGAGAGGAGAGAACGUUUGCAUCACAUAUAAUGAAUUUUUACAUAUCAACAUUCACGGGAAAAC
Molecule: long non-coding RNA, 213 nt
Filed under: Lathyrus oleraceus (garden pea)
Lineage: Eukaryota; Viridiplantae; Streptophyta; Magnoliopsida; Fabales; Fabaceae
Description: Pisum sativum (pea) long non-coding RNA (PSAT_LNC003872)
Source: RNAcentral